UACGUAGGGUGCAAGCGUUGUCCGGAUUCACUGGGUGUAAAGGGUGCGCAGGCGGGCUCUUAAGUCAAAGGUGAAAUCUCUCGGCUUAACCGAGAAAUUGCCUUUGAUACUGAGAGCCUUGAGUACGGGAGAGGGAGAUGGAAUUCCAGGUGUAGCGGUGAAAUGCGUAGAUAUCUGGAGGAACACCGGAGGCGAAGGCGGUCUCCUGGCCCGUUACUGACGAUCAGGCACGAAAGCGUGGGGAGCAAACAGG
This 253-nucleotide ribosomal RNA is filed under the name uncultured bacterium. RNAcentral describes it as "partial 16S ribosomal RNA". It matches the Rfam family "Bacterial small subunit ribosomal RNA", at positions 524 to 776 of the family's 1533-position model. The record is from RNAcentral.